GACGAACGCUGGCGGCGUGCUUAACACAUGCAAGUCGAACGGAAAGGCCCUGCUUUUGUGGGGUGCUCGAGUGGCGAACGGGUGAGUAACACGUGAGUAACCUGCCCUUGACUUUGGUAUAACUUCAGGAAACUGGGGCUAAUACCGGAUAGGAGCUCCUGCUGCAUGGUGGGGGUUGGAAAGUAUCGGCGGUGGGGGAUGGACUCGCGGCUUAUCAGCUUGUUGGUGGGGUCGUGGCUUACCAUGGCUUUGACGGGUAGCCGGCCUGAGAGGGUGACCGGCCACAUUGGGACUGAGAAACGGCCCAGACUCCUACGGGAGGCAGCAGUGGGGAAUAUUGCACAAUGGGCGGAAGCCUGAUGCAGCAACGCAGCGUGCGGGAUGACGGCCUUCGGGUUGUAAACCGCUUUCGCCUGUGACGAAGCGUGAGUGACGGUAAUGGGUAAAGAAGCACCGGCUAACUACGUG
RNAcentral lists this ribosomal RNA (468 nucleotides) under uncultured bacterium. RNAcentral's name for it is "partial 16S ribosomal RNA". It matches the Rfam family "Bacterial small subunit ribosomal RNA", at positions 28 to 507 of the family's 1533-position model. The record is from RNAcentral.